GCCAAUAAUAGCCCUAAUACUUACCAAAACAAUUAUCCAAAAAUCAACCAAAUAAAACAUUCAUCCCAUCCAAGUAUAGGAGAUAGAACAGAUCACAUAGGAGCAAUAACACUA
RNAcentral lists this ribosomal RNA (114 nucleotides) under Phalanger gymnotis. RNAcentral's name for it is "partial 16S ribosomal RNA". Lineage: Eukaryota; Metazoa; Chordata; Mammalia; Diprotodontia; Phalangeridae. The record is from RNAcentral.